RNAcentral lists this ribosomal RNA (447 nucleotides) under uncultured bacterium. RNAcentral describes it as "bacterial SSU rRNA". It matches the Rfam family "Bacterial small subunit ribosomal RNA", at positions 330 to 793 of the family's 1533-position model. The record is from RNAcentral.
GCCAGACUCCUACGGGAGGCAGCAGUGGGGGAUAUUGCACAAUGGGGGGAACCCUGAUGCAGCGACGCCGCGUGGGUGAAGGAGUAUUUCGGUAUGUAAAGCCCUAUCGGCAGGGAAGAAGCAAGACGGUACCUGACUAAGAAGCCCCGGCUAACUACGUGCCAGCAGCCGCGGUAAUACGUAGGGGGCAAGCGUUACCCGGAUUUACUGGGUGUAAAGGGAGCGUAGACGGCAGUGCAAGUCCGGAGUGAAAGCCCGGGGCUCAACCCUGGGACUGCUCUGGAAACUGUAAAGCUGGAGUGCGGGAGGGGCAGGCGGAAUUCCUGGUGUAGCGGUGAAACGCGUAGAUAUCAGGAGGAACACCGGCGGCGAAGGCGGCCUGCUGGACCGUAACUGACGUUGAGGCUCGAAAGCGUGGGGAGCAAACAGGAUUAGAUACCCCUGUAA